UUGGGAUAGCUCAGUCGGUAGAGCAGAGGACUGAAAAUCCUCGUGUCAC
This 49-nucleotide transfer RNA is filed under the name Anacyclus valentinus. RNAcentral describes it as "partial tRNA-Phe". Lineage: Eukaryota; Viridiplantae; Streptophyta; Magnoliopsida; Asterales; Asteraceae. The record is from RNAcentral.